Molecule: unclassified non-coding RNA, 185 nt
Filed under: uncultured Cladophialophora
Lineage: Eukaryota; Fungi; Ascomycota; Eurotiomycetes; Chaetothyriales; Herpotrichiellaceae
Description: sequence contains ITS1
Source: RNAcentral
AAGAGUUAGGGUCUUCUCGGCCCGACCUCCUCACCUCUGUUUACCUGACCUCACGUUGCUUCGGCGGGCCCGUCCCCUUAACCAGGCGACCGCCGGGAGGGCUCACCCCUUCUGGCCCGUGCCCACCGGAGACCCCACAAACUCUGUCUGAAUUGGUUUGUCUGAGUGAUUAAAGAUAAUUGUUA